RNAcentral lists this unclassified non-coding RNA (355 nucleotides) under Dioclea vallensis. RNAcentral describes it as "Dioclea sp. JFBP-2014e partial external transcribed spacer". The record is from RNAcentral. Lineage: Eukaryota; Viridiplantae; Streptophyta; Magnoliopsida; Fabales; Fabaceae.
CAAGUGCCAUGAAGCAUUUUGGUGUUUCCUUUUCGUGUUCCUGUGUUGCCUACCUUCGAAAUGGUAUUUGAAUGGUUUGGAAUAUUUUUUCCAUCCAGGUCUCUUUUGUGGGAUGAUGGUGGAUUUUGAUGCAACGCAUGUGUUCCUCAUUAGUUUUGCAUUAUGCAUCUUUUGUGGUACAUAUGUAGUUGUUGUCCUUUCGGAUACGGUGAAUGCAAUGAACAUGGGUUUAAAAUUCCCGUUCAGUUCCUAAAUUUUCGGUUGCCUUGGAAUGACAUCCUGCCUUGGUGCUUGUUUUGUUUUCCUCUCAGGGUCACAAGACUUGCAACUUGAGCAUGGUCAUUGAUGGGUGCUA